UACGGAGGGUGCGAGCGUUGUCCGGAAUCAUUGGGCGUAAAGGGCGCGUAGGUGGCCACUUCAAGCGUGCGGUGAAAGUCGGGGGCUCAACCCCUGAUCGGCCGUGCGAACUGGGGGGCUGGAGCACUGUAGAGGCAGGCGGAAUUCCGGGUGUGAGCGGUGGAAUGCGUAGAGAUCCGGAAGAACACCGGUGGCGAAGGCAGAUCUCUGGGCCGUAACUGACGCUGAGGAGCGAAAGCAUGGGGAGCGAACAGG
RNAcentral lists this ribosomal RNA (255 nucleotides) under uncultured bacterium. Its description in RNAcentral is "partial 16S ribosomal RNA". It matches the Rfam family "Bacterial small subunit ribosomal RNA", at positions 524 to 776 of the family's 1533-position model. The record is from RNAcentral.